AUACGUAGGGUGCAAGCGUUAAUCGGAAUUACUGGGCGUAAAGCGUGCGCAGGCGGUUCGGAAAGAAGGAUAUGAAAUCCCGGGGCUCAACCUUGGAACUGCAUUCUUAACUACCGAACUAGAGUAUGUCAGAGGGGGGUAGAAUUCCGCGUGUAGCAGUGAAAUGCGUAGAUAUGCGGAGGAAUACCGAUGGCGAAGGCAGCCCCCUGGGAUAAUACUGACGCUCAUGCACGAAAGCGUGGGUAGCAAACAGGAUUAGAUACCCUGGUAGUCCACGCCCUAAACGAUGUCAACUAGCUGUUGGGCCCUUCGGGGCUUAGUAGCGUAGCUAACGCGUGAAGUUGACCGCCUGGGGAGUACGGUCGCAAGAUUAAAACUCAAAGGAAUUGACGGGG
Molecule: ribosomal RNA, 395 nt
Filed under: uncultured bacterium
Lineage: Bacteria
Description: partial 16S ribosomal RNA
Rfam family: Bacterial small subunit ribosomal RNA
Source: RNAcentral